RNAcentral lists this transfer RNA (58 nucleotides) under Salmo salar (Atlantic salmon). It matches the Rfam family "tRNA", at positions 8 to 63 of the family's 71-position model. Rfam says of the family: Transfer RNA (tRNA) molecules are approximately 80 nucleotides in length. Their secondary structure includes four short double-helical elements and three loops (D, anti-codon, and T loops). Lineage: Eukaryota; Metazoa; Chordata; Actinopteri; Salmoniformes; Salmonidae. RNAcentral also lists the same sequence under 1 other name. The record is from Rfam by way of RNAcentral.
UGGCUCAGUUGGUAGAGCAUGGUGUGUGCAACGCCAGGGGUGUGGGUUCGAUUCCCAC